UAAUCAGCUGACUGAAGGGUAGACAAAUCAGAUGUUCAGAUCAGCUGUUUAAUUUUAUCUGCAGUCUGCACUGACGUCAACUUUCCUGCUUGCCUCUUGCUUUGGAAGUUGGGUUCGGAAUACCUAUAAAUGUAUUUCUCCACGAUGUCAGUUAUUCGUUUAACUAGAGUGUUUAGAAAUCUAAAAAGUUUGAAUAGUUGUGGAGUAUGUGUAGUUAAUAGAAUGAAAACUACUUCAGCUACUGGUGCUAUUCUUUCAGAACCAAAACGUACCCCUUUUGGGCUAGUGGGGGUUGUUUGUGCAGUAGUGCCAGGUUUAUUGAUUGGGGCUGCUAUAAGUAAAAACAUUGCCAAUUUUUUGGAAGAAAACGAUCUUUUCGUUCCUUCAGAUGACGACGAUGAUGACGAUUGAAUUAUAGUACCGCAAAUCAUAACCCAAAUAUUGCAAAUGUUACCAAGUUUUUACCUUUCAAUCCUCUUUUAUUACAGUUUUAUAGUAGCCUAAAAAGUUUUCAAAAUUCAUUCAAUAGUUUAAUAAUUGAAAUAAUUAUUGGUGCUCUGUGGAAAUAAUCUCAUUUGUUGACUGCAGUGAAGAGGAAAAAACUUAUCUGAGAGGCUUGUGUACAAGGAAAUUGUUCUUGAAAGGAAAACUGUACAAAAUAAAGAAGCUGGUCUAAAAAACGAAAAUCGACUCCAAACAGAGGUAUACUAUGCACAACGUUUUGUUGGGUCACUGGUUUUUUUUGGGACUGUUUCUGAAAACUUAAAUUUAUUACCGGUAUAGAUUUUAGCUUUAAUCUUUUUAUGUAUAUUAUACUAGUUUUAAUCUUGUAUGAUACACAUAAUUCAUACCUUGCCUCUGUACUUAUCAAUAUAUUAUUGAAAUUUUA
Long non-coding RNA from Nilaparvata lugens (brown planthopper), 889 nucleotides. RefSeq lists it as uncharacterized. Lineage: Eukaryota; Metazoa; Arthropoda; Insecta; Hemiptera; Delphacidae. The record is from RefSeq and is a predicted model, not a curated record. The transcript is spliced from 2 exons.